Saccostrea echinata is the source of this 530-nucleotide long non-coding RNA. RefSeq lists it as uncharacterized. Lineage: Eukaryota; Metazoa; Mollusca; Bivalvia; Ostreida; Ostreidae. The transcript has 3 exons. The record is from RefSeq and is a predicted model, not a curated record.
AUUCUUUACACCAUUCAUUGAUAAUGGUCGUUUCUUGCGAAGGAAUGGUCAUGAGAAAGUUCAGAAUUUCACAAUAUACAGUGUUUGAUUAGUCCGGAAUAGUAGGAAAGUAGAUCGCGCGUGCUCAUUUUGACUGACCUCUGACCGUUUGACAGCUUGACCAUUACUUAUAGGACCAGUUGUUUCACACACGUCAGGAAGAUAGGUAGACGAGAAAUUUGAAGCCAUAUUCGCCAUCAUGAGAAUCAUCUUUGUUUUCGCUCUCCUGAUUGUAGCAGUAUAUUCCGAGACAUGCCGACGUCACGAGGAAUGUAAGAACACAAUUUGCAGCACGGGGGCUGAAAUGCAUUGUAUCUUCCACACGUGCACGUGUACAAUAGCUGCCAGUAGUGGUUCAACAUGCACCUCAGUGUCAGAGUGCCAUGACAGGUGCAGCUUUGGACGCCAGCAUCACUGCAUUGACGGACAUUGCCGAUGUACCCACUUUUAAAACUGAACAUCUUAUUUAUAAUUAAAUGAUAUGUAGAUAG